AGAAGCCGACAAAAACGCUGGCGGGGUGCGCUCAUGCUGCAGCCGAGCGAAGCUUUCAGUAGUUUACUACAGAAAAUGACUGACGGGAACGGGUGAGUAACGCGUGAGCAAUCUACCUUAGUUACAGGGAUAGCCCGAGGAAACUCGGAUUAAUACCUGAUAUUCUUUAUUUCUCGCAUGAGAAUAAAAGGAAAGGUCAGCCGAACUAAGAUGAGCUCGCGUUCUAUCAGCUAGUUGGUGAGGUAAAAGCUCACCAAGGCUACGACGGAUAGCUGGUCUGAGAGGACGAUCAGCCACACUGGGACUGAGACACGGCCCAGACUCCUACGGGAGGCUGCAGCAGGGAAUAUUGCGCAAUGAGCGAAAGCUUGACGCAGCGACACCGCGUGUGGGAUGACGGAUCUAGGUUUGUAAACCACUUUCAGGAGGGAAGAA
This 435-nucleotide ribosomal RNA is filed under the name uncultured Actinomycetes bacterium. Its description in RNAcentral is "bacterial SSU rRNA". It matches the Rfam family "Bacterial small subunit ribosomal RNA", at positions 32 to 449 of the family's 1533-position model. Lineage: Bacteria; Bacillati; Actinomycetota; Actinomycetes. The record is from RNAcentral.